CCCUUAGAUGUUCGGGGCUGCACGCGUGCUACACUGAUAUUGCCAAUAUGUCAUUCUUAUCCGAAAUGGAUUGGGUAAUCAAGUAAUGAAAUUUCAUGCUUGGAAUCGGUAAUUGCAAUUUUAUCGUGAACGAGGAAUUCCUAGUAAGCACUAGUCAUCAGCUAAUGUUGAUUAUGUCCCUGCCCUUUGUACACACCGCCCGUCGCUACUACUGAUUGGGUGUUCAAGUGAGAUGCUUAGACCCUUGUUGCAUGGUUCAUUAUUGUGCUCCGAAAGGAAAAAGUUUCAAGCUUGAGUGUCUAGAGGAAGUAAAAGUCGUAACA
RNAcentral lists this ribosomal RNA (323 nucleotides) under uncultured eukaryote. RNAcentral describes it as "partial 18S ribosomal RNA". It matches the Rfam family "Eukaryotic small subunit ribosomal RNA", at positions 1470 to 1796 of the family's 1831-position model. The record is from RNAcentral.